CCAGAACUCCUUGGAGACUAUCACAGCCCCACGCAAGGGAGUGGAAGUUCUUGUGCCAGGAAUCCAGCCACAUUUCAGAGCAAAUGAACUGAAGAUUUGGCCCACUGUUUCUGGUAAUUGCUCCAGCAGUCAACCCAUCAGUCAGCUUCAGAAUCUGCAGGAACUCCCACAUUUGAAAAGCUCAUCGGACUCUGCAGCUGAGACCUCCCAGGCAUAUGCAUUCAUAUCUCAGAGUUAAAAUAUAAUUUGUUUUGGCUAAACAGCCUCUAAAUCUUUCCUUCCUCCAGAUGGAAGCAUUUGUGCAAUUAAGGAUUUGGCAAUGUUGGCAACUCCAUCACUUCACUGACUCUCGUGAGCCUCCAUUAGAUCUGAAGGCUUCCAACCCACCCUCCCAGAAAUAUGAAGUUUGGGGACUUGUAGGCAGCUGAGCCUACUUCCUCUGAUUCUAUAAACACUCAGACUUCAGUAUGUUUAGUAUUUUUGUUCCAGUUUUAAGGACUGUAGUUUUAUCUUGCUUUAACAUGAAUUGGUUUUGAAGUUGCAUGAGACUUCCAUCUUUUAGGUUCAAAAAACACUGAAUGGAUUUUGUUUUGAUUUUUGUUGGUCCAGAGUAUUGAGCCCUGAGUGAAUAGAGGAAAAGGAAGGGAAACAAUAAAACAGCAAUUGCCCUGUCUUUUGACCCAAAGAGUAAAAUAAGAUAGAAAGACAGUCUCAACCAAGUCUGCAAAGCUUUUCAGUCUUAUUUUUCAUCGUAAUUAACUUAUUAUUAAAGUCUCAUGAGCCUCAUGAAUUUUCUCUCACAUAAAAUGGAAAAAGGGUAAAUGAGGCUUUGAAGUUUGUGAAGGAGACAGUAUAACUGGAAAAUUGCUUUGACCCAUUUUUUUCCAUUACCCCAUAACAGCAAUCACUUUUUGGCAAGCGUUGUUACCUGUAUGUCUCUCUGUCAAGGGCAGGAAUGCAGCUGUGCACAUCCUUUCUAGUUACUUUCUUUUCGUGCCUGAGGGUUUUGUUUUGUGAGAGGAGAGCACUGAGGUGAACGUACUGCAUGUCUGACAUAAAUCAUAGUCUAUUUGACACUGUGUAUAAUAUUUGAAGUAUAAAAGCCAUUUUCAGGAAAUAAUGGCAGGUUCUGCAUCUCUAGAUAGUGAAAACAAUUAACUUCAUGCUUCAGAACUUAUCAUUAGCUGGAUCUCAUUUUAAAGGGCUAAAUAUUUUGAAUAUUUACAGAGUCUGAUUUGCAUAUCAACCAUUGACCUCAGUGUGUGCUUUGGGAAAAAAAAAUUCCAUUAUGUCAUCCUAGAGUGAAAUAAAGAGUGCAUCAAACCUUUAAUACAUUAUGUAGCAUGAGAAGUACUUUUCCUUGAUAGUUAAAAUCUCCAUGCACUGCCUGAAUGCCCGAGAGGAUUGCAUCGCUGUUAGCACACAUGGACAGCUACACCACUGUAGCUCUUGGAAAUAAACACAUCACUUGAUAGAACAAAGUGUGGCAAAAAAAUAUUUUUUCUUCCUGGCUGUACUGGAGAGUCUGUGACAUUUUACAAAAUUCCUAUCAUUAUGAUAUUCUAGUGGAUGCCCUGUCUGAGGUCCCCUCGUCACUGUAUAUCUGCAGGAAAGGCAGUGAUAAAGUGAGAUGAGAUGUGCAUCAUGUUGCUUAUGAGAAGAUCCUGCAGUUCAACCUGGUUACACAUUUUUCUGCAUGGGGGCAUCUAUAAAGGAAUAAAAUUGUUCUCUUUUAUUCUGUUUAGUGGGGGUUGCACAGCCAGAGAGACACUGCACCGUGGACCUUGUCAACACAGUCUCAGGAGAUGAUGCAGUGGGGCAGAUCAGGUCCUGGCACUUCAGAGUUCUCCCUGCUGUCAUCCUUCUAGAAUAUCUUCUGUGUUAUCAUUUGUGACUGCCUAAUUUAAAAGACUUGUCUGUAGCAUGACUAUCUUCAAAAUAAAGGAUAGUUUAUAUUUCUCCAAAUUAUAGUGCACCCAGUGCUUGAUCUCUCUUCCUUUAAUGAGGUUCACGAGUACCUUAGCAGGGCUUCCCACCAAGUUGCCUGCCUCAAUUCUGCUUUCUAGCAUCAAGGGAUUUUGUUUCGAACAGCUGCACCAAGAGAGCUUUUAAUGGUGCUCUGCUUCCCUUGCUUUACUUUUUCCUGAAUUCAUGUCAGUACUACAACUCUGUCCUUAAACUUCUGUUGCCCCCACACACAUUUCAUAAUCAGACUAUAAACCUUAUUAUUUUCUUUCCUGUCUUUUUCUUCAAUUAAUUUUAACUUGUAAGGCAAUAACAGGACUUGGGCAGUUGGAGCUCCUUCUUAAAUGUCCUUGUGUCGUACUAACUAGCUGACAUCUGUUUUGUAAUCUGUAAUUAUUUUAUUGCAUUUUAUUGUAUUUCCAAGAAGAUCAUAUUGUCACAAUCAAAUUGUGCCAUCAGAGUUUUUUCUUUUCCAGCCUCUAGAAUUGGGUACAAUUGGGUCAUGGAUGUUUUGACCAGCAAGUCCUUGGGCAACGUUCAGGGAGGAGAAAGAUUGAUUUUUGUUCUUGUGAGUCUUGGUCCUGAACCUUUGUUGCCUUAGAGACACCUUUUUCAAAAUGUCAUCCAAGCUAGAAGGGCAAAAAUGCAAACCUUGAGUUUUGUUCUGGGCUCAUUUUUGUUAUGAUGUUUGGGUUAUGCUCCUUUGAAGACUUUUUCUUUCUCAGUUCAACUCUUUGAUGUUGGUUAUUGCUCUUGGUCAGGGGUUUUGAGAGGUUCCUUCGUCUUUUAUGUGCCCUUUAAUGAUUGCAUAUAGCAUUUUUCUAUUUGGGAAGCAUAAAAUGUUCAGGUUGAUGUUGCAUUUGUUAUUCAUAGUUUGUCUAUGGAAUGGAGCUGUGAAAGCAAAAAGCUGAGAAUUAAAAAAUAAUUCUGUGUCCUUU
Molecule: long non-coding RNA, 2903 nt
Organism: Pseudopipra pipra
Lineage: Eukaryota; Metazoa; Chordata; Aves; Passeriformes; Pipridae
Exons: 2
Source: RefSeq, a predicted model, not a curated record